RNAcentral lists this ribosomal RNA (609 nucleotides) under Saccharomyces cerevisiae (brewer's yeast). RNAcentral's name for it is "partial large subunit ribosomal RNA". It matches the Rfam family "Eukaryotic large subunit ribosomal RNA", at positions 35 to 658 of the family's 3401-position model. Lineage: Eukaryota; Fungi; Ascomycota; Saccharomycetes; Saccharomycetales; Saccharomycetaceae. The record is from RNAcentral.
UUUGCAUAUCAAUAAGCGGAGGAAAAGAAACCAACCGGGAUUGCCUUAGUAACGGCGAGUGAAGCGGCAAAAGCUCAAAUUUGAAAUCUGGUACCUUCGGUGCCCGAGUUGUAAUUUGGAGAGGGCAACUUUGGGGCCGUUCCUUGUCUAUGUUCCUUGGAACAGGACGUCAUAGAGGGUGAGAAUCCCGUGUGGCGAGGAGUGCGGUUCUUUGUAAAGUGCCUUCGAAGAGUCGAGUUGUUUGGGAAUGCAGCUCUAAGUGGGUGGUAAAUUCCAUCUAAAGCUAAAUAUUGGCGAGAGACCGAUAGCGAACAAGUACAGUGAUGGAAAGAUGAAAAGAACUUUGAAAAGAGAGUGAAAAAGUACGUGAAAUUGUUGAAAGGGAAGGGCAUUUGAUCAGACAUGGUGUUUUGUGCCCUCUGCUCCUUGUGGGUAGGGGAAUCUCGCAUUUCACUGGGCCAGCAUCAGUUUUGGUGGCAGGAUAAAUCCAUAGGAAUGUAGCUUGCCUCGGUAAGUAUUAUAGCCUGUGGGAAUACUGCCAGCUGGGACUGAGGACUGCGACGUAAGUCAAGGAUGCUGGCAUAAUGGUUAUAUGCCGCCCGUCUUGAA